UGGAUCCAGACUUUGAUUAUGGCUCAGGACGAACGCUGGCGGCGUGCCUAACACAUGCAAGUCGAACGGAGCAAGAGCUUCGGCUCUUACUUAGUGGCGAACGGGUGAGUAACGCGUGAGUAACCUGCCUUUCAGUGGGGGACAACGGCCGGAAACGGCUGCUAAUACCGCAUGAAGUUCUCGGGAGGCAUCUACUGAGAACCAAAGCUUUAUGUGCUGAAAGAUGGACUCGCGUCUGAUUAGCUAGAUGGCGGGGUAACGGCCCACCAUGGCGACGAUCAGUAGCCGGUCUGAGAGGAUGAACGACCACAUUGGGACUGAGAUACGGCCCAGACUCCUACGGGAGGCAGCAGUGGGGAAUAUUGGGCAAUGGGGGAAACCCUGACCCAGCAACGCCGCGUGAAGGAAGAAGGCCUUCGGGUUGUAAACUUCUUUUACCAGGGACGAAGGAUGUGACGGUACCUGGAGAAAAAGCAACGGCUAACUACGUGCCAGCAGCCGCGGUAAUACGUAGGUUGCGAGCGUUGUCCGGAUUUACUGGGUGUAAAGGGCGUGUAGGCGGAGAAGCAAGUUGGGAGUGAAAUCUAUGGGCUCAACCCAUAAACUGCUCUCAAAACUGUUUCCCUUGAGUAUCGGAGAGGCAAGCGGAAUUCCUAGUGUAGCGGUGAAAUGCGUAGAUAUUAGGAGGAACACCAGUGGCGAAGGCGGCUUGCUGGACGACAACUGACGCUGAGGCGCGAAAGCGUGGGGAGCAAACAGGAUUAGAUACCCUGGUAGUCCACGCUGUAAACGAUGAAUACUAGGUGUGGGGGGACUGACCCCCUCCGUGCCGCAGUUAACACAAUAAGUAUUCCACCUGGGGAGUACGACCGCAAGGUUGCAACUCAAAGGAA
Molecule: ribosomal RNA, 893 nt
Filed under: uncultured Bacillota bacterium
Lineage: Bacteria; Bacillati; Bacillota
Description: bacterial SSU rRNA
Rfam family: Bacterial small subunit ribosomal RNA
Source: RNAcentral